Long non-coding RNA from Sorghum bicolor (sorghum), 649 nucleotides. RefSeq lists it as uncharacterized. The record is from RefSeq and is a predicted model, not a curated record. The transcript is spliced from 2 exons. Lineage: Eukaryota; Viridiplantae; Streptophyta; Magnoliopsida; Poales; Poaceae.
CCCUUCCCAUUCCUUACCGCCGCGCGCAGUCAGUCUCUUCCCUAUUUCAACUCAUACGAGUAUGGCGCUGGGAGCUUCCCUCCAAGAUCCCCAACCCUCUCCUCCAGCAAUGCCCAGCCCUUCUCUGCCUUUCUUGCUGGUGCCCUCUCCCUUCCUUUGCCCUGCUCCUUGGCUGAAGAUGGUGCCGAUGCGUUCACAGCAUCGGCGAGGUAUGUGUAGUCUAGGCUCGCUAUAGUGGCUCGGCAGAUCCAACCGUGGCCGCUGCGGAUCCGGGUGGAGGCGGCCUGGCGGUGCAGACAAAGCUAUCGGACGGCUAGCCAAGGGUAGUGCUCUGCUCCAAGCAGAUGUGGCCAUCCCAGUCCGAGAUUGUCUGAUGGUUUCAGAAAGUGGGAGAUGCGAGGUAGCAGACUAUAAGCAUCAAGCUGAUCCAAAUUAAAGGUUGAUGGAUGCCGAUUAUGGAUGCGAAAUUAAAUGUUGAUGGAUGCCGAUUCUAGAUUUGCUGAUUUUGGAUCUAGAUGGUAUUUUGUGAUAUUCUAAUGUUCUAUGGUUUUAGAGAUCAAUAAAUGUAAUAUUCUAUGAUAUUGGUUGUGUUGUUAGAAUGCAUAUUUGGGAAUGAAAUAGGGCUUUUUGGCUUGGGCUCGUCAAAUAA